RNAcentral lists this long non-coding RNA (416 nucleotides) under Felis catus (domestic cat). RNAcentral describes it as "lncRNA (ENSFCAG00000045481.2)". Lineage: Eukaryota; Metazoa; Chordata; Mammalia; Carnivora; Felidae. The record is from RNAcentral.
CAAAGCAGUACUUAAACCAUUUCAAUAAAUAAGUGCAACAUCUUCCCCUAUUUGAUUUCCUCCCUUGCAGUCUGGUACAGAGAGGAACCCUCACAGCCCCGGACUCCAGCAGAUAUUCUGGUUUGCAUGUUCCAGAUGAAGGAAGCCAUGUAUUAAUUUGGGAUGAGCCCUUGCAUUUCAUCACAGAAAGUAAAGAGAAAUCCUGAAAGUCAUAUAAUUUUGAUGUUGCCAUUAAGUUUCUCGAAGGCAAGAAGGAGAAAGACAGCCAUGAAUCCUCACUUUCACAGAAUCAGUGAAGAGAAGACAGGCAACAUAUGCCACUGGGGUAGAGUCCACAUCAUGGUAAGACCAAUGGAGCCUUUACUACUUAGUCAUUAUGUUUACAACCAGCCUUUAGAGAGGUGCAUGCAAAAGCA